CCUACGGGAGGCAGCAGUGGGGAAUUUUGGACAAUGGGCGAAAGCCUGAUCCAGCCAUUCCGCGUGAGUGAAGAAGGCCUUCGGGUUGUAAAGCUCUUUCGCAAGGAAAGAAAACUUAUCUCCUAAUACGGGGUGAGGAUGACGGUACCUUGAUAAGAAGCACCGGCUAACUACGUGCCAGCAGCCGCGGUAAUACGUAGGGUGCGAGCGUUAAUCGGAAUUACUGGGCGUAAAGCGUGCGCAGGCUGUUUUGUAAGUCAGAUGUGAAAUCCCUGGGCUCAACCUAGGAACUGCGUUUGAAACUACAAGGCUAGAGUGUAGCAGAGGGGGGUAGAAUUCCACGUGUAGCAGUGAAAUGCGUAGAGAUGUGGAGGAAUACCAAUGGCGAAGGCAGCCCCCUGGGUUAACACUGACGCUCAUGCACGAAAGCGUGGGGAGCAAACAGGAUUAGAUACCCUGGUAGUCCACGCCCUAAACGAUGUCUACUAGUUGUUGGGAGAGUAAAAUCUCUUAGUAACGCAGCUAACGCGUGAAGUAGACCGCCUGGGGAGUACGGUCGCAAGAUUAAAAACNCAAAAUGAAUUGACGG
RNAcentral lists this ribosomal RNA (589 nucleotides) under uncultured bacterium. RNAcentral's name for it is "bacterial SSU rRNA". It matches the Rfam family "Bacterial small subunit ribosomal RNA", at positions 338 to 916 of the family's 1533-position model. The record is from RNAcentral.